CUGGCGGGCAGGCCUAACACAUGCAAGUCGGGCGGUAGCACAGAGAGCUUGCUCUCGGGUGACGAGCGGCGGACGGGUGAGUAAUGUCUGGGAAACUGCCUGAUGGAGGGGGAUAACUACUGGAAACGGUAGCUAAUACCGCAUAACGUCGCAAGACCAAAGUGGGGGACCUUCGGGCCUCAUGCCAUCAGAUGUGCCCAGAUGGGAUUAGCUAGUAGGUGGGGUAAUGGCUCACCUAGGCGACGAUCCCUAGCUGGUCUGAGAGGAUGACCAGCCACACUGGAACUGAGACACGGUCCAGACUCCUACGGGAGGCAGCAGUGGGGAAUAUUGCACAAUGGGCGCAAGCCUGAUGCAGCCAUGCCGCGUGUAUGAAGAAGGCCUUCGGGUUGUAAAGUACUUUCAGCGAGGAGGAAGGCAUUAAGGUUAAUAACCUUAGUCGAUUGACGUUACUCGCAGAAGAAGCACCGGCUAACUCCGUGCCAGCAGCCGCGGUAAUACGGAGGGUGCAAGCGUUAAUCGGAAUUACUGGGCGUAAAGCGCACGCAGGCGGUCUGUUAAGUCAGAUGUGAAAUCCCCGGGCUCAACCUGGGAACUGCAUUUGAAACUGGCAGGCUUGAGUCUUGUAGAGGGGGGUAGAAUUCCAGGUGUAGCGGUGAAAUGCGUAGAGAUCUGGAGGAAUACCGGUGGCGAAGGCGGCCCCCUGGACAAAGACUGACGCUCAGGUGCGAAAGCGUGGGGAGCAAACAGGAUUAGAUACCCUGGUAGUCCACCGCUGUAAACGAUGUCGACUUGGAGGUUGUUCCCUUGAGGAGUGGCUUCCGGAGCUAACGCGUUAAGUCGACCGCCUGGGGAGUACCGGCGCAAGGUUAGAAGCUGCAUUCGAAACUGGCAGGCUUGAGUCUUGUAGAGGGAGGUAGAAUUCCAGGUGUAGCGGUGAAAUGCGUAAGAGAUCUGGAGGAAUACCGGUGGCGAAGGCGGCCCCCUGGACAAAGACUGACGCUCAGGUGCGAAAGCGUGGGGGGAGCCAACAGGAUUAGAUACCUUGGUAGUCCACGCUGUAAACCGAUGUCGACUUGGAGGUUGUUCCCUUGAAGGAGUGGCUUCCGGAGCUAACGCGUUAAAGUCGACCGCCUGGGGAGUACGGCCGCAAGGUUAAAACUCAAAUGAAUUGACGGGGGCCCGCACAAGCGGUGGAGCAUGUGGUUUAAUUCGAUGCAACGCGAAGAACCUUACCUACUCUUGACAUCCAGAGAACUUAGCAGAGAUGCUUUGGUUGCCUUCGGGAACUCUGAGACAGGUGCUGCAUGGCUGUCGUCAGCUCGUGUUGUGAAAUGUUGGGUUAAGUCCCGCAACGAGCGCAACCCUUAUCCUUUGUUGCCAGCGAUUCGGUCGGGAACUCAAAGGAGACUGCCAGUGAUAAACUGGAGGAAGGUGGGGAUGACGUCAAGUCAUCAUGGCCCUUACGAGUAGGGCUACACACGUGCUACAAUGGCAUAUACAAAGAGAAGCGACCUCGCGAGAGCAAGCGGACCUCAUAAAGUAUGUCGUAGUCCGGAUUGGAGUCUGCAACUCGACUCCAUGAAGUCGGAAUCGCUAGUAAUCGUAGAUCAGAAUGCUACGGUGAAUACGUUCCCGGGCCUUGUACACACCGCCCGUCACACCAUGGGAGUGGGUUGCAAAAGAAGUAGGUAGCUUAACCUUCGGGAGGGCGCUUACCACUUUGUGGAUUCAUGACUUG
Molecule: ribosomal RNA, 1741 nt
Filed under: Klebsiella ornithinolytica
Lineage: Bacteria; Pseudomonadati; Pseudomonadota; Gammaproteobacteria; Enterobacterales; Enterobacteriaceae
Description: bacterial SSU rRNA
Rfam family: Bacterial small subunit ribosomal RNA
Source: RNAcentral